GCCUCGGUAGCGUAGUGGUCAAGACGCUCGCCUCAGGAGGGCGUGGGUUCGAUCCCAGCCGAGGCA
RNAcentral lists this transfer RNA (66 nucleotides) under Diaphorina citri (Asian citrus psyllid). It matches the Rfam family "tRNA". From Rfam's summary of the family: Transfer RNA (tRNA) molecules are approximately 80 nucleotides in length. Their secondary structure includes four short double-helical elements and three loops (D, anti-codon, and T loops). The record is from Rfam by way of RNAcentral. Lineage: Eukaryota; Metazoa; Arthropoda; Insecta; Hemiptera; Psyllidae.